AUACGGAGGAUCCGAGCGUUAUCCGGAUUUAUUGGGUUUAAAGGGUGCGCAGGCGGCCAUUUAAGUCAGCGGUUAAAUCGUGGGGCUCAACCCCAUUCUGCCGUUGAUACUGGGUGGCUUGAUUGCGGUCGAGGUUGGCGGUAUUCGUUGUGUAGCGGUGAAAUGCAUAGAUAUGACGAAGAACACCGAUUGCGUAGGCAGCUGACCAGACCGCAAAUGACGCUCAUGCACGAAAGUGCGGGGAUCGAACAGGAUUAGAUACCCUGGUAGUCCGCACAGUAAACGAUGAAUACUUGUUUUCGGCGAUAUAAUGUCGGAGGCAAAGCGAAAGCGAUAAGUAUUCCGCCUGGGGAGUACGCCGGCAACGGUGAAACUCAAAUGAAUUGGCGGGG
RNAcentral lists this ribosomal RNA (392 nucleotides) under uncultured bacterium. RNAcentral describes it as "partial 16S ribosomal RNA". It matches the Rfam family "Bacterial small subunit ribosomal RNA", at positions 523 to 918 of the family's 1533-position model. The record is from RNAcentral.